RNAcentral lists this ribosomal RNA (916 nucleotides) under uncultured bacterium. Its description in RNAcentral is "bacterial SSU rRNA". It matches the Rfam family "Bacterial small subunit ribosomal RNA", at positions 246 to 1155 of the family's 1533-position model. The record is from RNAcentral.
UUGUUGGUAAGGUAAAAGCUUACCAAGGCUUCGAUCAGUAGCUGGUCUGAGAGGACGGCCAGCCACACUGGGACUGAGACACGGCCCAGACUCCUACGGGAGGCAGCAGUGGGGAAUUUUGGACAAUGGGGGCAACCCUGAUCCAGCCAUGCCGCGUGAGUGAAGAAGGCCUUCGGGUUGUAAAGCUCUUUCAGCCGGAACGAAACGGUUACGGUUAAUACCCGUGACUACUGACGGUACCGGAAGAAGAAGCACCGGCUAACUACGUGCCAGCAGCCGCGGUAAUACGUAGGGUGCAAGCGUUAAUCGGAAUUACUGGGCGUAAAGCGUGCGCAGGUGGUUUUGUAAGUCAGAUGUGAAAUCCCCGGGCUUAACCUGGGAACUGCGUUUGAAACUACAAGGCUAGAGUGUGGCAGAGGGGGGUGGAAUUCCGCGUGUAGCAGUGAAAUGCGUAGAUAUGUGGAGGAACACCGAUGGCGAAGGCAGCCCCCUGGGUCAACACUGACGCUCAGGCACGAAAGCAUGGGGAGCAAACAGGAUUAGAUACCCUGGUAGUCCAUGCCCUAAACGAUGUCAACUAGUUGUCGGGCCUUAACGGGCUUGGUAACGUAGCUAACGCGUGAAGUUGACCGCCUGGGGAGUACGAUCGCAAGAUUAAAACUCAAAGGAAUUGACGGGGACCCGCACAAGCGGUGGAUUAUGUGGAUUAAUUCGAUGCAACGCGAAAAACCUUACCUACCCUUGACAUGUAUCGAAGCCCGCAGAGAAGCGGGUGUGCCCGAAAGGGAACGAUAACACAGGUGCUGCAUGGCUGUCGUCAGCUCGUGUCGUGGGAUGUUGGGUUAAGUCCCGCAACGAGCGCAACCCUUGUCAUUAAUUGCCAUCAUUUAGUUGGGCACUUUAAUGAGACUGCCGG